UCCCUGGUGGUUCAGUGGUAAAGACUUUUGCUUGCCAAUGCAAGAGACCCAGGUUUGAUCCCUGGGUGGGGAA
This 73-nucleotide transfer RNA is filed under the name Ovis aries (sheep). It matches the Rfam family "tRNA". Rfam says of the family: Transfer RNA (tRNA) molecules are approximately 80 nucleotides in length. Their secondary structure includes four short double-helical elements and three loops (D, anti-codon, and T loops). The record is from Rfam by way of RNAcentral. Lineage: Eukaryota; Metazoa; Chordata; Mammalia; Artiodactyla; Bovidae.